UACGUAGGGUGCGAGCGUUGUCCGGAAUUAUUGGGCGUAAAGAGCUCGUAGGCGGUUUGUUGCGUCUAUCGUGAAAACCUGCAGCUUAACUGUGGGCUUGCAGUGGGUACGGGCAGACUAGAGUGUGGUAGGGGAGACUGGAAUUCCUGGUGUAGCGGUGAAAUGCGCAGAUAUCAGGAGGAACACCGAUGGCGAAGGCAGGUCUCUGGGCCAUAACUGACGCUGAGAAGCGAAAGCAUGGGGAGCGAACAGG
RNAcentral lists this ribosomal RNA (253 nucleotides) under uncultured bacterium. RNAcentral's name for it is "partial 16S ribosomal RNA". It matches the Rfam family "Bacterial small subunit ribosomal RNA", at positions 524 to 776 of the family's 1533-position model. The record is from RNAcentral.